GACGCUGCGGUACGUCUGUAAAGUCUAUAGUCACGUGACUCCGCUCCGUCCAAUCUGUAGUGUAGGAGACCAUGAGGUAGAGAAAAUGGAGGACGUUUCAAACGUUGGGACGGCGGCGAUUGCCCUGCAGAUGCAUCGUUUUCUGCUGGUUCCCUCUGAAGUGCUGGCUUUGCUCUUGGGGAUAACUGAAAGGUCAGAGACAAGAACAAUGAAGAACGUAAAUGACCACAAAUAUCCGUGUCCUUGAAGAAGACUCAGGAAAUGCCCGCAAAGUUUUCCUGUAAUUCCCAGAGAUCCCAUUUUUUAAAGCAUCCUUCUUCAUUCCUGCCCCGGCGUUGUCUCCGGUCCAGUCCGGUCUGGCCGCGAGUCGGAGCGAGAGGUCAGCCAUCCAGCCCAGAGUUACGACCCCCGGCCGGCGCUGGGUGAGGAAGAGGAGCGUGAGAGCCCAGUGACGGAGCUCCAGGCUUAUUCUGAAGGGACUGUUAAAGGAAACGGCUCCGGGUCCGUGACGAACAGCCGGGCCCGAAGGUCAACCUUCAAGGUUUCCUUUUGAAGGAUGUCGGUUCAUUCACCGAAACGCCAGGGAGGGGCUCCUGACGUCCGACGAGUCACCGCGGCCCGUUUCCUGUGUGAGACAGGAUGCUACUCCGACCACGAGCAGCCAAAUUUAAACUGGUCUGACUGGUUGUGUUGGGCGUUUGAGGCCUUUACCUUCGCUCACCGGUGUGGGAGCCGUAACCGUGUCCUGUUUCACACCGCCGCUGAAACAAUGCCCAUCUUUGUUCGGCCCAUUGUUGCUCCGCAGGUUGUGUGUGUGUGUGUGCGCGUGUGUGUGUGUGAGACUCCUCACCCAGGGCUGGGUUUUUACUAAAGCCGUGGGACUCUGUAAUUACAAAUUAGCAUCAGCAUUAAUAGGAUCUCAGGCUGUUAAAGCUGGAGCAGCUCAUGAAAAGCUGCGUUUAACCGCCUCAGAGGCGGCUGGUAAAAGCAGCGGUGACGGGAAAUGAAACGUGUUUGUUCAGAUCCUCAGGGUGACGCUGCUGCUGCUGCUGCUCUCGGCUCUGAGCCUCCGUGACCAGUUGACAUUAUUUAUGCGCAUGUUUCUGCCCGUAUUUAUUUAUGUCUCUGCCACAUUUAAACACGUUUAACCCA
Poecilia reticulata (guppy) is the source of this 1152-nucleotide non-coding RNA. The record is from RefSeq and is a predicted model, not a curated record. NCBI's taxonomy places the organism in Eukaryota, Metazoa, Chordata, Actinopteri, Cyprinodontiformes, Poeciliidae.